RNAcentral lists this ribosomal RNA (39 nucleotides) under Symbiodinium sp. A4. RNAcentral's name for it is "partial 5.8S ribosomal RNA". RNAcentral also lists the same sequence under 3 other names. Lineage: Eukaryota; Dinophyceae; Suessiales; Symbiodiniaceae. The record is from RNAcentral.
GCGCUCUUGGGAUAUGCCUGAGAGCAUGUCUGCUUCAGU